Molecule: ribosomal RNA, 707 nt
Rfam family: Bacterial large subunit ribosomal RNA
UCCGUGUUCGAAAGGGAAACAGCCCAGACCACCAGCUAAGGUCCCAAAAUAUAUGUUAAGUGGAAAAGGAUGUGGCGUUGCCCAGACAACUAGGAUGUUGGCUUAGAAGCAGCCAUCAUUUAAAGAGUGCGUAAUAGCUCACUAGUCGAGUGACACUGCGCCGAAAAUGUACCGGGGCUAAACAUAUUACCGAAGCUGUGGAUUGUCCUUUGGACAAUGGUAGGAGAGCGUUCUAAGGGCGUUGAAGCAUGAUCGUAAGGACAUGUGGAGCGCUUAGAAGUGAGAAUGCCGGUGUGAGUAGCGAAAGACGGGUGAGAAUCCCGUCCACCGAUUGACUAAGGUUUCCAGAGGAAGGCUCGUCCGCUCUGGGUUAGUCGGGUCCUAAGCUGAGGCCGACAGGCGUAGGCGAUGGAUAACAGGUUGAUAUUCCUGUACCACCUAUGAUCGUUUUAAUCGAUGGGGGGACGCAGUAGGAUAGGCGAAGCGUGCGAUUGGAUUGCACGUCUAAGCAGUAAGGCUGAGUAUUAGGCAAAUCCGGUACUCGUUGAGGCUGAGCUGUGAUGGGGAGAAGACAUUGUGUCUUCGAGUCGUUGAUUUCACACUGCCGAGAAAAGCCUCUAGAUAGAAAAUAGGUGCCCGUACCGCAAACCGACACAGGUAGUCAAGAUGAGAAUUCUAAGGUGAGCGAGCGAACUCUCGUUAAGGAA